This 107-nucleotide small nucleolar RNA is filed under the name Nicotiana sylvestris (wood tobacco). Its description in RNAcentral is "Plant small nucleolar RNA R71". It matches the Rfam family "Plant small nucleolar RNA R71". Rfam says of the family: R71 is a member of the C/D box family of snoRNAs containing the C (UGAUGA) and D (CUGA) box motifs. Multiple nearly identical copies of this snoRNA have been identified in Arabidopsis, and it is thought to function as a 2'-O-ribose methylation guide for 18S ribosomal RNA. The record is from Rfam by way of RNAcentral. Lineage: Eukaryota; Viridiplantae; Streptophyta; Magnoliopsida; Solanales; Solanaceae.
UGGUUGUGAUGAGGACAAUCUCUGAGCAACCCCUUGAACUUCUCCCAAUCUUUAUAUGAAGACUCCCCUGAUUUCUGUUUGAAAGCUACUAUCUCACUUCUAAUCAU